Gadus macrocephalus (Pacific cod) is the source of this 1901-nucleotide long non-coding RNA. RefSeq lists it as uncharacterized. NCBI's taxonomy places the organism in Eukaryota, Metazoa, Chordata, Actinopteri, Gadiformes, Gadidae. The record is from RefSeq and is a predicted model, not a curated record. The transcript is spliced from 3 exons.
AAAUAACCAAUCACAAUAGGGGAUUAUCACGCUUCCUGGUUCCGGUGGCGGGAUUUGUCUUCGUUGUGCAUGAACACUUCCGGCGCACUUCCACCAUGGCUGAAACAAAGGCGAGAUGUCACUGCUCUCUGUUCCACUUUGUACAUCUAACAAACAACACCAACCCUACUUAAGUUUUCAUGGAUUCCCGACUGAAAUGAGUCUAAGGAAGAAGUGGAUUCAAGCGGUUCGCCGGGAUGAAGGGCCAAACUUUAAAAUAAAACAAGGUAGCAUGUUUGUUUGUAGCCGGCACUUUAGUGAAUCAGACUACAAACGCUACAGCUAGCAACCAACCGGGGUCACACCAAGCGACUGAAAAUCGGGUCUGUACCCUCCCGUUUCCAGUGGAACAACUGGGGACUGCCAAGAAGGGGGUCUGUUUAUAAAAGAGCAUCAACUCGCUUAGGCCAUGACGUUCACCCAUCCCUUCCCCUGGAGCAACCGCUGCCCUGUGAAUAAGAGCCGAUGGAGGAGAUCUCAGCUUCGGUGGUGAUGACAGAACAUGAUUUCGGUUCUGCUCCUAAACCAGGUUUGUCAGUGUUUGUUAGUGUUCUGAAAUAUUGGCCUACUAUUACCCCAUACUGUUCUUAAACCACCUACCUGACAGGAUGUACUACCUAUGGUUUAAUCACAGAAUUGGCUAUUAGUAGGUUAUACCGAGGAGGUAGGUCAACUUUUCAGAACUCAGGCACAACAUGUUUAGUCUUAUUAAUGUCUCAGCAUUUGACCAAACCACAAUGUGAAAAGCUUCAUCACAAGUACAAAUGUUGCAUUUUAUAUCUUACUUAAUUAAUUGUAAAGGUGAAUAUUGAGCUAUAAAAAGCAAAAUUUAAAAGCAAUAUUGAGCUACAAAAAGCAAUUUCUUUAGAGGUCCAAACUGCUUCCAAUAUGCAAGUCACAGCCAAAAUCUGGGUUAGAUGUUUUAAUUUCAUCUCAUACAGGUGCACUGGAUGCUGCUGCUGUAAACAUACAGCAAUUGGAAGAAACAGUCAAGGAGCUGAUGAGAGCUGUCUCAGCUGAAAGUGGUUCAAGUGCAUUUUCACAGAUUCUGUGUCUCAGACGCGGACAUCCUUUUUUACACCAGAUUCACGUCAAGAGAUGUUUUUUGUGACUUCUGGGAGGUUAUUCAACCAUCUGCCUCCAUGUUGGUUUAUUGGUCGAAAGCUCAGAAAAAGAAACAAACAUUUGAACCCAUUUCUCCCAGUCCAACGUGUAGACUGCAACUGGUUGAGUUUUUUCUCUUCUGCUGCCGGGUUGCUGCAGGCCUGCAAGAGAAGGUGCUGGCUGACAUGUUUCAGGUCAGUGUGUCCACUGUCUACCAUGUUGUUAUACCGUGGGCCAACUACCGUUACCUGCUCCUUGGCUCCCUCCCCAUCUGGAUGAGUAAACUGCAAGUCAAGAACACCAUGCCAAGAUAAUUUGUGCAGUACAGUCCAGAUGUUCAGAGCUGACUGAACGAAGUGGACUGCUGGAUUUACUGGAGCCAGGAGAUGGCUGCAUGGCAGACAAGGGUUUCACCAUCGAGAAGCCACUAGCUGAUCGUGGGACAACGCUGAUUAUACCACCCUUCAAGAUGACAGUUCACUGAAGAGGAUGCUCUGAAAACACAAGCAAUCGCUCGACUUCGAAUCCUCGUAGAAAGAGCAAUAGGCAGAGUCAAGGAAUACCGCAUCUGGGAACACACUGUCCUUUCACCUUGUCUGCGACAGUCAAUCAGCUGUGGACCGUCUGCUGUGUGAUGACCAACUUCCAGGGACCACUUGAUUUAAAAGGCUACAUCCCUGUUGAAUAGUGUUUCUACUCAAACAUGUACCUAUAAAUAUUAAAUAUAAUAUAUAAAUAUUAAAACGAGAGGCACUGAA